This 492-nucleotide ribosomal RNA is filed under the name uncultured bacterium. RNAcentral's name for it is "partial 16S ribosomal RNA". It matches the Rfam family "Bacterial small subunit ribosomal RNA", at positions 29 to 507 of the family's 1533-position model. The record is from RNAcentral.
AGUGAACGCUGGCGGUAGGCCUAACACAUGCAAGUCGAACGGCAGCACAGUAAGAGCUUGCUCUUACGGGUGGCGAGUGGCGGACGGGUGAGGAAUACAUCGGAAUCUACUUUUUCGUGGGGGAUAACGUAGGGAAACUUACGCUAGUACCGCAUACGACCUACGGGUGAAAGCAGGGGAUCUUCGGACCUUGCGCGAUUGAAUGAGCCGAUGUCGGAUUAGCUAGUUGGCGGGGUAAAGGCCCACCAAGGCGACGAUCCGUAGCUGGUCUGAGAGGAUGAUCAGCCACACUGGAACUGAGACACGGUCCAGACUCCUACGGGAGGCAGCAGUGGGGAAUAUAGGACAAUGGGCGCAAGCCUGAUCCAGCCAUACCGCGUGGGUGAAGAAGGCCUUCGGGUUGUAAAGCCCUUUUGUUGGGAAAGAAAAGCAGCAGGUUAAUACCCCGCUGUUCUGACGGUACCCAAAGAAUAAGCACCGGCUAACUUCGUG